This 512-nucleotide ribosomal RNA is filed under the name uncultured Planctomycetota bacterium. RNAcentral describes it as "bacterial SSU rRNA". It matches the Rfam family "Bacterial small subunit ribosomal RNA", at positions 355 to 866 of the family's 1533-position model. The record is from RNAcentral. Lineage: Bacteria; Pseudomonadati; Planctomycetota.
UCGAGAAUCUUCGGCAAUGGGCGCAAGCCUGACCGAGCGACGCCGCGUGGAGGACGAAGGCCUUCGGGUUGUAAACUCCUGUCGAGGGGAAGGAAGGGGCCCUCGGGCCCUUGACCGCUCCCUGGAGGAAGCACGGGCUAAGUUCGUGCCAGCAGCCGCGGUAAGACGAACCGUGCGAACGUUAUUCGGAAUCACUGGGCUUAAAGCGCGUGUAGGCGGGGCGGUGCGUCGGUCGCUGAAAUCCCCCGGCUCAACCGGGGAAGGGGCGCCGAGACGACCGCCCUGGAGCGACGUAGGGGGGACUGGAACUUCCGGUGGAGCGGUGAAAUGCGUUGAGAUCGGAAGGAACGCCCGUGGCGAAAGCGAGUCCCUGGACGUCGGCUGACGCUGAGACGCGAAAGCCAGGGGAGCGGAACGGGAUUAGAUACCCCGGUAGUCCUGGCCGUAAACGAUGGGCACGUGGGUAGGGGGCUCGCCGAUGGGCUCCCUGCCGUAGGGAAACCGUGAACGUG